UGGGGAAUUUUGGACAAUGGGCGAAAGCCUGAUCCAGCAAUGCCGCGUGUGUGAAGAAGGCCUUCGGGUUGUAAAGCACUUUUGUCCGGAAAGAAAUCCUUGGCUCUAAUACAGUCGGGGGAUGACGGUACCGGAAGAAUAAGCACCGGCUAACUACGUGCCAGCAGCCGCGGUAAUACGUAGGGUGCAAGCGUUAAUCGGAAUUACUGGGCGUAAAGCGUGCGCAGGCGGUUUGCUAAGACCGAUGUGAAAUCCCCGGGCUCAACCUGGGAACUGCAUUGGUGACCGGCAGGCUAGAGUAUGGCAGAGGGGGGUAGAAUUCCACGUGUAGCAGUGAAAUGCGUAGAGAUGUGGAGGAAUACCGAUGGCGAAGGCAGCCCCCUGGGCCAAUACUGACGCUCAUGCACGAAAGCGUGGGGAGCAAACAGGAUUAGAUACCCUGGUAGUCCACGCCCUAAACGAUGUCAACUAGUUGUUGGGGAUUCAUUUUCCUUAGUAACGUAGCUAACGCGUGAAGUUGACCGCCUGGGGAGUACGGUCGCAAGAUUAAAAACUCAAAUGAAUUGAC
This 568-nucleotide ribosomal RNA is filed under the name uncultured bacterium. RNAcentral's name for it is "partial 16S ribosomal RNA". It matches the Rfam family "Bacterial small subunit ribosomal RNA", at positions 355 to 914 of the family's 1533-position model. The record is from RNAcentral.